UCUCUCUGGUUUCCCUUCAAAACGUAUAAUUCUUUCGCCUUUUACUAAAGAUUUCCGUGGAGGGGAACAAUUAAACGAGUCUGUAGACUAAUUUUUUGUUAGCACUGCCUUUCUGGCGGGGCU
Molecule: small nuclear RNA, 123 nt
Filed under: Actinia tenebrosa (Australian red waratah sea anemone)
Lineage: Eukaryota; Metazoa; Cnidaria; Anthozoa; Actiniaria; Actiniidae
Description: U5 spliceosomal RNA
Rfam family: U5 spliceosomal RNA
About the family: U5 RNA is a component of both types of known spliceosome. The precise function of this molecule is unknown, though it is known that the 5' loop is required for splice site selection and p220 binding, and that both the 3' stem-loop and the Sm site are important for Sm protein binding and cap methylation.
Source: Rfam by way of RNAcentral